UGAGAAAAAAACCAAAUGUAUUAAAUUUUGCUUGCCAAACGUACAAAAUAACGAAUGUUAUGUUGCUUUGAACGGACAAAAGUUAGAAUUUGUUAAGGAGACUGUAUUUUUGGGUAUCACAUUAGAUGACAGAUUACAAUGGGGGCCCCAUAUAAAAGCACUUUCGGGGAGACUAAGCUCAGCUGCUUAUGCAGUUAGACAGAUUAGGCAGCUAACGGACGUAGGUACGGCAAGGCUUGUUUAUUUUAGUUAUUUUCACAGCAUAAUGUCUUACGGCAUUUUGCUGUGGGGGCGAGCUGCGGAUGUAGAAUCAAUUUUUAUUUUGCAAAAGCGAGCUAUUCGAGCAAUAUAUAACUUGCCCCGUCGCGAAUCUUUGAGAGAACUAUUUAAAACUAUAAACAUUCUUACAGUGCCUUCUCAAUUCAUUUACGAAAAUAUUAUGUACGUGAGAAAAAAUCAACAAUUGUUUGAAAAAAGAAGCGACAGACACAAUUUUAAUACGAGAGGUAAAAAUAAGUUAGCUAUACCGCAAUUCCGAUUGUCCAAAGUGCAGAAAUCCUUCAUGGGAUUUUGUGUUAGGUGUUACAAUAAACUACCAACCACCAUACUGAAUCUGAACGAGAAAAAAUUUAAAUCUUGUAUAAAGCGUGAACUGUGUAAACAGGCAUAUUAUAAACUGUCAGAUUAUAUUGAAGAUAAAAAUGUGUGGCAGCAUGUUGGUCCGGCUCCACUGGACACUCGCUCACACUAGACAAUGCUCUAAUACGAUCACUAGUUACACGUUAAAUUAAAGUACUAAUUUAUUCCAAUGUAGUCUAGGGAUCCUGUGGCAUCAAACAGUUAUUUAUUUAUUUUUUAUUUGAAAAAUUAAAUUAAAGAUUAUUUUUUAUUUGUAUAGAAGCAUUAUUUCAAAAUUGUAAGUGUACAUAUGUGGGCACUAUGUUUGAAACAACCCGCUUUUUUAAUUUAUAUUCUGUUAACAACCACUAGCAACACCAGACAGAUAUAAUGUAGGAUGGAAUUAUAAUAUAAAAAGGAUAGUAUUUAAUUACUGAGUACUAUUCAUAGGAAUAAAUAUAUUAAACCUCUUUCAUCAUUUCAUAGACAAUAUAAAUUGUUUAAAAAUAAUUGUUAGCUGAAAUGGAACGUCAAAUGAUAUAUUUUAAAAAUGGCGGGAAAUAAUUAAUUCGAAUAUUGGUCGAUGAGACGGAUUAUUGUUUUAUAAUUGUUCUGUAAAUAUAAAUUGUAAUUCCUGAAAGUUAUGAAUUUCAUUUAAUCGUCUUGCAUCUUGAAAUAACACUUCAGAAGUGGGAUCUUUUCAAAUUGUCUGGACCUUACAUCGGUGGAUUGGGGAAAGGACAAAGAAAGUACAAGACAGAAAGUUCGGAAGAUGAAAACAAUGGAAUUUUUUUUUCGGAAGACCAUGAACCACGCACGAAAUGUAGCAUCUACGGUGAAAAUACAAUUUCAUGUAUAAUUCGAGAUGAGGACCAAUGCAAAGGCAUAGUUGUGAAACUCCCGAACAACUAUACUAUGGCUACAUGUCGUAACUGGAGAACCUGAUACCCGUGGGUUCAACUAGUACACGCAGAACUUCAUUGUGCCCAAUGGAACUUCGACUGUUCAACAACAGCCUAAGAUUUACUACGUUUGCCGGCGUCCUGGACACGAAGCAAAGGAUUAUAGACAACAACAGCGCUGCGAGAACUGUCGGCGCAGCGGACACAUCACGGCUACGUGCUGGUUUGCUCCGAGUUCUUCACACUUAGCGACAAAAUGUUACCCAGAAAUUUGCAUCUGCAAACGGAAAUCACAGCGAAGACCGUGGGACACGUUCUGCACAGGAUGGCCGAGUGUUAACAACCACUAGCAACACCAGACAGAUAUAAUGUAGGAUGGAAUUAUAAUAUAAAAAGGAUAGUAUUUAAUUACUGAGUACUAUUCAUAGGAAUAAAUAUAUUAAACCUCUUUCAUCAUUUCAUAGACAAUAUAAAUUGUUUAAAAAUAAUUGUUAGCUGAAAUGGAACGUCAAAUGAUAUAUUUUAAAAAUGGCGGGAAAUAAUUAAUUCGAAUAUUGGUCGAUGAGACGGAUUAUUGUUUUAUAAUUGUUCUGUAAAUAUAAAUUGUAAUUCCUGAAAGUUAUGAAUUUCAUUUAAUCGUCUUGCAUCUUGAAAUAACAAUUCUUUACAAAUUGGUUUUAUUGUCCCAUAGUUUUGACGUCGUAUUGUCGUUACAUUGUUCCUACAUAUAUAUACAAUAGGUAAAUGAUCAAAUAAUGUAUCAGAGAUAUUGUAAAAAACAUUUUUGAAAAGAGUAACGAUGGAGUUUCUUGCUCGUUCUUCUCCAUUCGAAGCAACACUUUGGAACGAGCGCCUAGCUUCACUGACAGACAGACUGACGGACAAUUCAAUUUGACGUUUCAAAAGUGCCUAAUUUAGGAUUAAUUGAAAUAAAUGCUUUGACUUUGACUUUGACUUUGACUUCAUGUUGUUGUAUAUUUUUGUUAAAAUUUUUAGAUUUUGUUAAUGUUGUUUAAUAUACAUAUUUUUGGUA
Long non-coding RNA from Spodoptera frugiperda (fall armyworm), 2553 nucleotides. RefSeq lists it as uncharacterized. The record is from RefSeq and is a predicted model, not a curated record. NCBI's taxonomy places the organism in Eukaryota, Metazoa, Arthropoda, Insecta, Lepidoptera, Noctuidae. The transcript has 2 exons.